RNAcentral lists this non-coding RNA (187 nucleotides) under Thiospirillum jenense. RNAcentral describes it as "6S / SsrS RNA". It matches the Rfam family "6S / SsrS RNA". Rfam says of the family: E. coli 6S RNA was the first non coding RNA to be sequenced, but its function was unknown until recently. It consists of 184 nucleotides that fold into an extended hairpin structure with a large single-stranded internal bulge. Lineage: Bacteria; Pseudomonadati; Pseudomonadota; Gammaproteobacteria; Chromatiales; Chromatiaceae. The record is from Rfam by way of RNAcentral.
CAUCCCCUGUGGUGUACGAUCGCAGCUUGGGUAUUUUCUUGAGCCUAUUGUGUACCCCGGGAGCAUAAGAUCGCGGCUGUUGUGCAAGUCCAUCUUCGAGUGGAACGCCUGAAGCCGAUAUUGUUGUUCCCACUUGAACUCUCCUGGUUCAAGAACGAUGGCAGGCACCGGCACAAGUGGGGGAUGU